AGCAGCACUUGGGCACCAAAAGUGAGCUCCUCUUCCUCUUCAGGGCCAUGCACAUCACACCUCUGAAAUGCCCCAAGAAAUUCUCUCUUUCUAACUGAAUCAUCCAACACAAACACCCUGGAUUCCUGGAUAUGUUCAAAGCAGGACAGACCCCAGGAGCUGAAGUGAGGAAGGGGCUGUGCCUGUGGUGCGGGAGUCACAGAUCAAUAGGGGACAAUUUACAGCUCCAUUGUAACCUUCCCCCAAAACCUGGGUCCCACCACCACUGUUGGAGUUUAAAAACCAUCUGUGAACUUCAGCAGGGACUAACCAGUGCCCACAACCACACUGGGCUGCUGCAAUCCCACCCUGGAGCCCUGCCAGCGCCUGCACUUUGUCUGGGUGAACAAACAAAAAUCAAACUCAUAUUCACUGGGCCAAUUCUCAGAACCUACAGCUUUAAUGGUCUAAGAAAAAUAUAAUAUAAAAACAGACACAAACCUGGCCUGUUGGUUCCCACCAAGAGAAGAAUCUCUUGUUCUCAUUCUCGGCUGCAAACCUGAAGAAGGAAGCCUAGAAGAGGUUCCUAAAAUGGCUGAGUACAUUCAAAUGAGGCAAGAACGCCCAACAGAGCGAACAGGUGCCCAUAAAAAACCUUCCUGAACAUUACAUAAAACUUGACCCUCUUCAAGUAUUUUCUUUUCAUCCAACAGAUAGAUACACUAAUAAGGCAUUUAACAAGCCACUAAUGAAGCAGGAGAUCUUUUAGGCAACAAAAAUACCAACUUCAAGCGGGCAAAACCGUGAAAGGAAUUGAAAGUGGAGCGGCCGGCACGCGCAGACCAGAGAUUCAGCUGGAUGAUCACGUAUCCUGCUACAGGUAUCACCAACCUAUCUUUAGGCACCUUCUGGAGAGCCAGCUCACUGAUACCAGCUGGAUCAGCCCAGGAAUUUGUUUGAUGUGCUUAAGAGGUUGGUAACAAUAGCUCCUAAGGUGACAGCGGCGGCAGCGUUGCGCGGUGACAGCGUUUCCUUGGAGACAGCGAAUCCAUCCAUCGGGAUCCCGGCAGGUUCCCCCUCUCCAGAGAGCCUGGAACUCCCUCCCUGAGCAGGGCCAGAGAUGGGAAGAUAAGCCCUGCCUGUAGACAAAUAGCCCUGUGCAAGAUGUGAGGAUUUCAUGCAGCAGCCAGACAUGUCUGAAAGUUCCUCAGGUCUGACUACAAGCAACCAGAAGUUCUUGAAAUUCUACUCCUCCUACUGCUCCAUCCUGAGGGAUGCCCACAAUAUUCCACUGGUUUUACCCCAAAACAGAGGAACCCUCGGGCAGAGCUGGGACCCCAGGCUCCCUUUCCCACUUCCCUCUGACUCCUUCAAGUAUCUUGGCUGGUGUGACAUAGAGGAACACAGUGUGAGAGGGAAUCAGCUCCUCUGCCCCCGAGUGAGGGAAGGGCCCUCAGAAGAAGAGCUGUUUUUCAGGAAAGAAGAAUAUACUCUGAAAAGAAGAAAACAAGUAACUGACACAGAGAAAUGGGAAAAGAGGAUGCAAGAGAACUGGGAAAACUGUGCUGAGCUGAACCUUUCAUUCCAGGACCUGGGUGACCUUUACCAGGUGGAAAACCUCAAAAGAAUCCUCCACAGAUUAAUCCGGGUGGAAAAGCUUUGGUUGGUGGACAAUUCCCUGACAGACCUCAGUGCCAUAAGGUUGCCAAGAUGCAGAGAGCUAAAUGUAAAUAAAAACCACUUUACAUCCUUCAAACAGCUGCCAAAAGUCCCUCAGAUUCAGCACUUAUCUCUUGCUGAAAACAACAUCACGAGCCUGAGUGGGAUUUCAGACUUCAGGCACACCCCACUGGAAUCCCUCAUCCUCAAGAGGAAUCCCUGUGAGUUCCAGGAAAGAUACAGACAGCUUGUGUUCUCCAAUUUGCCAAACCUGAAAAUACUGGAUGGCAUCCCAAAACUGCCAGAGGACUGCUCACCCCCUGAGGUCAGGUUUUUUUACAGAAUGUGUACUAUACUCUAAAACAAUAUUUUUGUAGGAUCUCAACUGCGCUACAACCACCUUUCUUAAAACAGACUGUAAAUCCUGCUUAUGGAAGUUCUAUUUUUUUUUUUACUGGUCAAAGAGAUAUUGAAACAGAAAUAAAACAUUUUUGAGUGCAUUUGUGAUACCAAGUAUGGGUAUGGAUAUGUAAAUAAGACAUAAUGUUAUACUGAUAUCAUGAGUUGAUUUAGUUUAUUAUUAAAAUUAAUUAUUUAUUAAUAGCAAAAUUUAAGUUUAUUAUUAAAAAUAGUGUGUGCCAAGUAAGUAUGGGUAUGGAUAUGUAAAUAAGACAUAAUGUUAUACUGGAUAUUUAUUAAAUUUAAUUUGGAGUUUAAUUAAUGGAGUUUAUUUAUUAUUAAAAUUAUUGAUUACUAUUUAUUAAUAGCAAAUUUUAAGUUUAUUAUUAAAAAUAGUGUGUGCCAAGUAAGUAUGGGUAUGGAUAUGUAAAUAAGACAUAAUGUUAUACUGGAUAUCAUGAGUUGAUUAAAUUUAUUAUUAAAAUUAAUUAUUAUUAUU
This is a long non-coding RNA of Zonotrichia leucophrys gambelii, 2536 nucleotides long. RefSeq lists it as uncharacterized. The record is from RefSeq and is a predicted model, not a curated record. Lineage: Eukaryota; Metazoa; Chordata; Aves; Passeriformes; Passerellidae. The transcript is spliced from 8 exons.